Molecule: ribosomal RNA, 183 nt
Filed under: uncultured eukaryote
Lineage: Eukaryota
Description: partial 18S ribosomal RNA
Rfam family: Eukaryotic small subunit ribosomal RNA
Source: RNAcentral
UGGUGGAGUGAUUUGUCUGGUUGAUUCCGUUAACGAACGAGAUCUUGACCCUUCAAUGACAGCUGGAUCGAAUAUAUGUAGUUCAUUGCUUCAUCCUUGUGUUGAUCAGCAUGGGCGAGAUCCUGAUAUGUACUCAAGGGGACGAUGCGUGUCAACAACGCAUGGAAGUGCGAGCCAAUAGCA